ACCACCUGUAAAUCUUCGUCCAGGCAAUGGACUUGAAGAUGCUCGAUAAGGUCAGGAGGAAGUUCCACCUGGGUAAUGGACUUGCACUUCUCGAAGCCCAUGAAGAACACCACUUUGCAAUCUUGGGUUAUGAUCUUAGCCCCUUCUUUCUCUAACUGUUUUCUCCUGCUUUCAGCACGUUUGAGUAAAAUUCCUCGAUAUAUAAAUUUGCCCCAG
RNAcentral lists this long non-coding RNA (216 nucleotides) under Elaeis guineensis (African oil palm). RNAcentral's name for it is "long non-coding RNA (EGUI_LNC046719)". The record is from RNAcentral. Lineage: Eukaryota; Viridiplantae; Streptophyta; Magnoliopsida; Arecales; Arecaceae.